RNAcentral lists this non-coding RNA (171 nucleotides) under Janthinobacterium saanense. Lineage: Bacteria; Pseudomonadati; Pseudomonadota; Betaproteobacteria; Burkholderiales; Oxalobacteraceae. The record is from RNAcentral.
GGGAGGGUAACUGACCGUGGGAAGGAAGCGUGGAGCAUAAAUCAUGAGCCGAUGAACAAGAACUGCAUAGAAGGCGCUGCCGAUCAGGGCGAGCGGGCCAUAAACCGCGAAGCUCUUGUGGUCAAGGAGAGGUGGCGUAAAUGCAGCGGUUGUGUGAUGAAGGAGUGCGGC